GGGGGGGGGGGGGGGGGGGGGUGGGGGGGGGGGGGGGGGGGGGGGCGGGGGGGGGGGUGGCGGGCGGGUGCGGAGGGGGGGGGAACGUGGCGGUAGGGGCGGAAUGACUCCGCGAGAGGGGUGCUAGGGCCGGAUCAUGGCGUCGGAACAAAGAUUUAUCGCCUGGGGAUGGGCCCGCGUUGGAUUAGCUAGGUGGGAGGGUAAAAGCCUACCACGGCGACGAUCCAUAGCUGGUCUGAGAGGAUGAUCAGCCACACUGGGCCUGACAAACGGCCCAGACUCCUACGGGAGGCAGCAGUGGGGAAUAUUGGACAAUGGGCGAAAGCCUGAUCCAGCAAUGCCGCGUGAGUGAUGAAGGCCUUAGUGUUGUAAAGCUCUUUUACCCGUGAUGAUAAUGACAGUACCGGGAGAAUAAGCUCCGGCUAACUCCGUG
RNAcentral lists this ribosomal RNA (433 nucleotides) under uncultured bacterium. RNAcentral describes it as "partial 16S ribosomal RNA". The stretch from base 57 to 433 matches the Rfam family "Bacterial small subunit ribosomal RNA", at positions 39 to 507 of the family's 1533-position model. The record is from RNAcentral.